UUGGUUAGAACUCAAUACAGGUUGGCGCCGCAAUGACGCCAACACCUUGGCUCGUCACGCCGGCAACGAGCCCCAACGGCAGAGUUUUUCUGCCAGACCUCGAUUGAGGUCUACGCGAUAAAUACAGUCAAC
This is a non-coding RNA of Pseudomonas sp. G5(2012), 132 nucleotides long. The record is from Rfam. Lineage: Bacteria; Pseudomonadati; Pseudomonadota; Gammaproteobacteria; Pseudomonadales; Pseudomonadaceae.